GACGAACGCUGGCGGCGUGCCUAAUACAUGCAAGUAGAACGCUGAAGCGAGGAGCUUACUCUUCUUGGAUGAGUUGCGAACGGGUGAGUAACGCGUAGGUAACCUGCCUUGUAGCGGGGGAUAACUAUUGGAAACGAUAGCUAAUACCGCAUAACAAUGGAUGACACAUGUCAUUUAUUUGAAAGGGGCAAUUGCUCCACUACAAGAUGGACCUGCGUUGUAUUAGCUAGUAGGUGAGGUAAUGGCUCACCUAGGCGACGAUACAUAGCCGACCUGAGAGGGUGAUCGGCCACCCUGGGACUGAGACACGGCCCAGACUCCUACGGGAGGCAGCAGUAGGGAAUCUUCGGCAAUGGGGGCAACCCUGACCGAGCAACGCCGCGUGAGUGAAGAAGGUUUUCGGAUCGUAAAGCUCUGUUGUAAGUCAAGAACGGGUGUGAGAGUGGAAAGUUCACACUGUGACGGUAGCUUACCAGAAAGGGACGGCUAACUACGUG
RNAcentral lists this ribosomal RNA (497 nucleotides) under uncultured bacterium. Its description in RNAcentral is "partial 16S ribosomal RNA". It matches the Rfam family "Bacterial small subunit ribosomal RNA", at positions 28 to 507 of the family's 1533-position model. The record is from RNAcentral.